GAUGAACGCUAGCGGCAGGCCUAAUACAUGCAAGUCGAGGGGCAGCACAGGUAGCAAUACUGGGUGGCGACCGGCAAACGGGUGCGGAACACGUACGCAACCUUCCUUUAAGUGGGGAAUAGCCCAGAGAAAUUUGGAUUAAUACCCCGUAACAUCGUGGAAAGGCAUCUUUCUACGAUUAAAGCUCCGGCGCUUAAAGAUGGGCGUGCGUC
This 212-nucleotide ribosomal RNA is filed under the name uncultured Chitinophaga sp. RNAcentral's name for it is "partial 16S ribosomal RNA". It matches the Rfam family "Bacterial small subunit ribosomal RNA", at positions 28 to 237 of the family's 1533-position model. The record is from RNAcentral. Lineage: Bacteria; Pseudomonadati; Bacteroidota; Chitinophagia; Chitinophagales; Chitinophagaceae.